RNAcentral lists this ribosomal RNA (253 nucleotides) under uncultured bacterium. RNAcentral describes it as "partial 16S ribosomal RNA". It matches the Rfam family "Bacterial small subunit ribosomal RNA", at positions 524 to 776 of the family's 1533-position model. The record is from RNAcentral.
UACGAAGGGGGCGAGCGUUGUUCGGAAUUACUGGGCGUAAAGGGCGCGUAGGCGGUCUUAUAAGUUUUAGGUGAAAUACUGGGGCUCAACUCCAGUGCUGCUUAGAAUACUGCAAGACUUGAGAGCGGGAGAGGUAAUCGGAAUUCCUAGUGGAGAGGUAAAAUUCGUAGAUAUUAGGAGGAACACCAGAUGCGAAGGCGGAUUACUAGAACGUUUCUGACGCUGAGGCGCGAAAGCGUGGGGAUCAAACAGG